RNAcentral lists this ribosomal RNA (497 nucleotides) under uncultured bacterium. Its description in RNAcentral is "partial 16S ribosomal RNA". It matches the Rfam family "Bacterial small subunit ribosomal RNA", at positions 28 to 507 of the family's 1533-position model. The record is from RNAcentral.
GAUGAACGCUGGCGGCGUGCCUAAUACAUGCAAGUCGAGCGAACGGACGAGAAGCUUGCUUCUCUGAUGUUAGCGGCGGACGGGUGAGUAACACGUGGAUAACCUACCUAUAAGACUGGGAUAACUUCGGGAAACCGUAGCUAAUACCGGAUAAUAUUUUGAACCAGAUGGUUCAAAAGUGAAAGACGGUUUUGCUGUCACUUAUAGAUGGAUCCGCGCUGCAUUAGCUAGUUGGUACGGUAACGGCUUACCAAGGCAACGAUGCAUAGCCGACCUGAGAGGGUGAUCGGCCACACUGGAACUGAGACACGGUCCAGACUCCUACGGGAGGCAGCAGUAGGGAAUCUUCCGCAAUGGGCGAAAGCCUGACGGAGCAACGCCGCGUGAGUGAUGAAGGUCUUCGGAUCGUAAAACUCUGUUAGUAGGGAAGAACAUAUGUGUAAUUAUCUGUGCACAUCUUGACGGUACCUAAUCAGAAAGCCACGGCUAACUACGUG